RNAcentral lists this long non-coding RNA (332 nucleotides) under Salvia miltiorrhiza (redroot sage). RNAcentral's name for it is "long non-coding RNA (SMIL_LNC013156)". Lineage: Eukaryota; Viridiplantae; Streptophyta; Magnoliopsida; Lamiales; Lamiaceae. The record is from RNAcentral.
AUGGCCUUAAAUCACUUCAAUAUUAACAACACAUCUACUUUUAUUUUCAAGAGAGGACUCAUGGCAAGUUCUAGAGAUCAACACACAUGCUCAAAUGAUUUACACUCAAGAACAAAAUGAGAUUGUAAAUGUAUGACAAUCAAAGACUCAAUUCUCACAAGCUCAUUUUCAUUUUCAAGUUCUUGGAGGUACAACAUUUAGCUCAUUGUCACAAGUUCAAACUCUACAUGCAAAAUCAACAAGUGACACACAACAAUUUUUUUCAAAAACAACAAUCAUAUCAUAAGCCCAACACACAUUUCAUCCAACUCAUGUUUUUCAACAAUCAAGCU